Molecule: ribosomal RNA, 1442 nt
Filed under: uncultured bacterium
Lineage: Bacteria
Description: bacterial SSU rRNA
Rfam family: Bacterial small subunit ribosomal RNA
Source: RNAcentral
GAUGAACGCUAGCGGCAGGCUUAACACAUGCAAGUCGAGGGGUAACGGGGAAGCUUGCUUCCGCCGACGACCGGCGCACGGGUGCGUAACGCGUAUACAAUCUACCUUGUACUGGGGUAUAGCCUUUAGAAAUGAAGAUUAACCCCCCAUAGCCUCUUAGAGUGGCAUCACUUCUAGAGUAAAGGUUACGGUAUAAGAUGAGUAUGCGUUCUAUUAGUUUGUUGGUGUGGUAACGGCACACCAAGACUACGAUAGAUAGGGGCCCUGAGAGGGGGAUCCCCCACACUGGUACUGAGACACGGACCAGACUCCUACGGGAGGCAGCAGUGAGGAAUAUUGGACAAUGGAGGCAACUCUGAUCCAGCCAUGCCGCGUGCAGGAAGACUGCCCUAUGGGUUGUAAACUGCUUUUAUACAGGAAGAAACACCUCUACGUGUAGAGGCUUGACGGUACUGUAAGAAUAAGGAUCGGCUAACUCCGUGCCAGCAGCCGCGGUAAUACGGAGGAUCCAAGCGUUAUCCGGAAUCACUGGGUUUAAAGGGUCCGUAGGUGGAUAAUUAAGUCAGAGGUGAAAUCUUGCAGCUCAACUGUAAAAUUGCCUUUGAAACUGGUUAUCUUGAGUUAUUAUGAAGUAGUUAGAAUAUGUAGUGUAGCGGUGAAAUGCAUAGAUAUUACAUAGAAUACCAAUUGCGAAGGCAGAUUACUAAUAAUCAACUGACACUGAUGGACGAAAGCGUGGGUAGCGAACAGGAUUAGAUACCCUGGUAGUCCACGCCGUAAACGAUGGUUACUAGCUGUUUGGACUUCGGUCUGAGUGGCUAAGCGAAAGUGAUAAGUAACCCACCUGGGGAGUACGUUCGCAAGAAUGAAACUCAAAGGAAUUGACGGGGGCCCGCACAAGCGGUGGAGCAUGUGGUUUAAUUCGAUGAUACGCGAGGAACCUUACCAGGGCUUAAAUGUAAGUUGCAUUAGUUAGAGAUAGCUAUUUCUUCGGACCACUUACAAGGUGCUGCAUGGUUGUCGUCAGCUCGUGCCGUGAAGUGUCAGGUUAAGUCCUAUAACGAGCGCAACCCCUGUUGUUAGUUGCCAGCGAGUCAUGUCGGGAACUCUAGCAAGACUGCCAGUGCAAACUGUGAGGAAGGUGGGGAUGACGUCAAAUCAUCACGGCCCUUACGUCCUGGGCUACACACGUGCUACAAUGGUAGGUACAGAGAGCAGCCACUGCGCGAGCAGGAGCGAAUCUAUAAAACCUAUCACAGUUCGGAUCGGAGUCUGCAACUCGACUCCGUGAAGCUGGAAUCGCUAGUAAUCGGAUAUCAGCCAUGAUCCGGUGAAUACGUUCCCGGGCCUUGUACACACCGCCCGUCAAGCCAUGGAAGUUGGAAGUGCCUGAAGUCCGUCACCGUAAGGAGCGGCCUAGGGUAAAGUCGAUAACUAGGGCU